This 2219-nucleotide long non-coding RNA is filed under the name Homo sapiens (human). RNAcentral describes it as "HSALNT0380944". Lineage: Eukaryota; Metazoa; Chordata; Mammalia; Primates; Hominidae. The record is from RNAcentral.
UGAGAAGCUGCGAAGAUGGCGGAGUAAGGCGUGCCGCUGCAAACUGGCCUCUGGGCCGGGGGCGAGCAGCCCCCGGGAGGCCGAGUGCAUCUGUUGGACCGUGCGAGGUGAGCCGAGAAGGCCAGUGACGGUGGGACGAGCAGGCGCCGAGGAGGUGGCGUGGCCCAGACGGGCCGGGAGAAGAAAAAAAAUAUCGGCCAGAGGAGAGGAACUAACCGAACAUUCUUCCUCCCUACCUUAUAGAGGGGAGUGGUCAUCUACACUAAAGCAAAGUGUUAGGCGCGUCCGUGCGAAGAGACCACCAAACAGGCUUUGUGUUCCUUAUCACAGGAAGAAAAUUUUCCUUGACCUUUAGGUGCUUUUAUAUUCAUCUCAAAAACAAAAUUCUGAACUCAGGACUUGGCAAACGGAGUCACGUUCUGUUGCCUGGGCUGGAGUGCACUGAUGCAAUCUUGGCUCACUGAAAUCUCUGCCUCCCAGGUUCAAGCGAUUCUCCUGCCUCGGCUUCCUGAGUAGCUGGGACUACAGGCACCCGUUACCACGCCCAGCUAAUUUUUGUAUCUUUAGUAGAGACGGGGUUUCACCAUGUUGGCCAGGCUGGUCUUGAACUCCGGACCUGGUGAUCCACCCACUUCGGCUUCCCGAAGUGCUGGGUUUACAGAUGUGUCUCUAUGUUGUCUCCUAGAGUGGGUAGUCCUGCUUCUUUUACCCAGUUACUUUCCCGUUUUUGAAAUGUGGCUAUCACUUCUCUACACAUUACCUCCAUGAUUUGGAAUGGAAAAGGCCACUUUUCUUUUUGUUCUGCCUCUCAAAUUCAACACAGAGGAGCUCCUAGGAUUCCAGUUAUCCUGCUAACAUCUCCAGGAAGAAAGAAGCAACUCACAUGGGUCUUUUGCUGUUUGCUUAAUUAUAAAGACAUCAUUUUGCAAGCAGAAGGCUGAGUUUCAUUUGAAACAGGUGCUUAGGUGGUGGUAUUUGUGAAUACUUUUCAUUCCAAGCAAGAAGACUAAAGAAGUAGCAAGUAUGAAUGACUUCAGGGUUUAAAAAAAAUGUCUUCCAGUUUCAGCCACUACCAUGAUAAGCACAGUUGAGACUGCAGCAGUAAAUUCCAAAUAUGUGUUUCUAAUUUGACGUGAAAGAUACUAAAAAUUUAUAUUUGUAUAUUUAAAUCCUGGCUCAUCCUGUGACAUAGAUUUACUGAAUAGGAACAAAGGCCCAAUUUUAAACAAAAACCUAGGCCGGGUGUGGUGGCUCACACCUGUAAUCCCAACACUUUGGGAGGCCAAGGCAGGCAAAUCACCUGAGGUUGGGAGUUUGAGACCAGCCUGACCAACAUGGAGAAACCCCAUCUCUACUAAAAAUAGAAAAUUAGCCAGGUGUGGUGGUAGAUACGUGUAAUCCCAGCUACUCGUGAGGCUGAGGCAGGAGAAUUGCUUGAAUCCGGGAGGCGGAGGUUGCAGUGAACUGAGAUUGCACCACUGCACUCCAGCCUGGGCGACAGAGUGAGACUCCGUCUCAGAAAAAUAAAAAACAACUUUGGACAUAGAGGAGUUGGGGGCAGAGGGGGGAGGAUGAGAGAAUUUUCCAUGUAACUCCUUUUCCUUAAGAAAAAGAAGCAAAAAUCCCUCAUGCAGUGCCAUCUGACUUUAUGGUGUUUCACAUUAUAUAGUUACUUUUUUUAAUAAACGCAUAAGAUUAACUCUUCCUGCAACCCAAGGUGGAUACUUGGAUGUUUGAUUUUUAUUUAUUUAUUUAUUUAUUUUUUGAGGCAGUCUCUCUCUGUUGCCCAGGCUGGAGUGAUGCGUGAUUUCUGCUCACUGCAGUCUCUCCCACCCGGGUUCAAGCGAUUCUCCUGCCUCAGCCUCCCAAGUAGCUAGGAUUACAGGCGCGCACCACCACGCUCAGCCUGAUUUCUAGGCUGAAAAGGCUGGGACUCAGGUACUUUCCCCAGUUGGGACUGAACUUUCUCAUCAGAGAAUGGGCCUCAGAAGCAAUGUUCCCAAACUUGUGGUUGGGUCAUCGUGGAAAAGAAACCUCAAAUAAGAAAAAUAAUUACAAUAAGAAAUGGAUUUUCUUUUUUCCCACAACAGUUAUACAUUAUAAAGAACAGACUGUCGUAGAAAACUGUCUUUGCUUCCAAAUCAGCAGAGGACCAUUGUAUGUAUUGUCAGGUCUUUAUAUAAGAGUGAAACCUUUAUUUAUGCUUCUUGUGAGUAGAG